RNAcentral lists this long non-coding RNA (458 nucleotides) under Homo sapiens (human). Its description in RNAcentral is "HSALNT0340009". Lineage: Eukaryota; Metazoa; Chordata; Mammalia; Primates; Hominidae. The record is from RNAcentral.
CGGGGAGCCACAGGGCAGACACGGCCCCCAAGCACGCCCUCCACGCACACCAGGUGCCACCCUGCGGGAAGUUUGGGCAGCACGGAGUCCGCCAGCAUUCUACAGGAAGUUUGGGGGAGCACAAGGUUGCCUGCAGAAGGCCAUCAGAAGGGGGUAGGUGAACCCAGUCUGACAGUUGCUGCUUGGGUUUUGACGUCGUUGGACUAGUAGCUGAGGAGAGGCACCACCCCCUUUUAGGUGUCUGAAGGGAGUAUUUACUCCAUCCUGCUGUGGGCUAGAACAUGAAGAAAUCACAGAACUGGUUCUGCCAACAUGAAAGUGUCUCUGCCACAUUUUGGUGAUUCAGUCGCAUUAACUCUCCUACAGUAAUAGAGCCCCUGGGGUAGGCUCUGCUCGUGUGCACAUACAUAAUAACCUUCACAGAUCCUAAGGUAAACGUUCCUUGCAGGGCCCUCCUG